Molecule: long non-coding RNA, 540 nt
Organism: Carassius carassius (crucian carp)
Lineage: Eukaryota; Metazoa; Chordata; Actinopteri; Cypriniformes; Cyprinidae
Exons: 4
Source: RefSeq, a predicted model, not a curated record
GCGCGCUUUCAGCUAUGAUCACUUCCUAUUUACAUCAAUAAGUUCGUUAUUAAAUCACUGAACUAACAUCAGAAGGUAACGGCCCCCAGCUUCAGACGUCUGUCCCGGGCCACUGAGGGCCUCUCGGAGCCCAGCACAGGUCUCUCCUGCUGGCUUCUUCACUCAGAACAAUUGCCAGUGGACCUGAAUGAGGAAUGCUGAUCAUUUUGACGGAAAGCAUCAGAUUGGAAAGAAAAACUGGAAUCGGAAUGAUGUCUGUGGAUGAUAAGGUGAAUCACUGCUGCAUGACUGAAGAGAUUCUCAUCACAAUAUCUCUCAUUAUCGUCGAGCGUUCCCACGAUCAGAUGCUCUCUGGCGUGUUUUUCUCCUUUCAGCACGUCAGGUAUGUGUAUCACAUGCUAGUGAAUGAAUGCCAUCUGUCAACACUGACUGCUGCCGUCCAUGUGACUUUCUUGUCUUUAGAUGAAAACAAGGGAUUCUGCAUUCCUUCGGUCUCUGAUGGGUGUCACACUUCAGCAGGAGCUUGUUUGGGUGAAUCUG